UGAGGAACAUGACCUUCGGCGGGGGAGUAGCCGGCCCAACGGCCGGGUAAUACCGCGUACGACCACUUUGGGACAUCCCUAGGUGGUGAAAGCAGCAAUGCGCCGAUGGAGUGCCUCGCGGCCUAUCAGCUAGUUGGUGAGGUAACGGCUCACCAAGGCGACGACGGGUAGCUGGUCUGAGAGGAAGGCCAGCCACAUUGGGACUGAGACACGGCCCAGACUCCUACGGGAGGNAG
Molecule: ribosomal RNA, 236 nt
Filed under: uncultured bacterium
Lineage: Bacteria
Description: partial 16S ribosomal RNA
Rfam family: Bacterial small subunit ribosomal RNA
Source: RNAcentral